Molecule: RNase P RNA, 488 nt
Filed under: Desulfonatronum sp. SC1
Lineage: Bacteria; Pseudomonadati; Thermodesulfobacteriota; Desulfovibrionia; Desulfovibrionales; Desulfonatronaceae
Description: Bacterial RNase P class A
Rfam family: Bacterial RNase P class A
About the family: Ribonuclease P (RNase P) is a ubiquitous endoribonuclease, found in archaea, bacteria and eukarya as well as chloroplasts and mitochondria. Its best characterised activity is the generation of mature 5'-ends of tRNAs by cleaving the 5'-leader elements of precursor-tRNAs.
Source: Rfam by way of RNAcentral
GGAGUCGGGCAGGUUGUCGCCGGGGGCGUGUUUUGCUCAGGCAAGGCGCGUCCCGGGAGGAAAGUCCGGGCUCCAUAGGGCGGGACGCUGGAUAACGUCCAGCGGGGGCGACCCCGGGAAAGUGCCACAGAAAACAGACCGCCCCGCGCUCACUUUGCCUUUGUCAUCUUUUCGGCCUUUGCUGGAUGACCAGGGCAAAGUGAGCGCGGGGUAAGGGUGAAACGGUGGGGUAAGAGCCCACCAGUUGCCGCGGUGACGCGGCAAGCUCGGCAAACCCCGUUCGGAGCAAGACCAAAUAGGAGGACGCUUGAGGCCGGCCCGGUCGAAGUCCUCGGGUAGGUUGCUGGAGGCCGGAAGCAAUUCCGGUCCUAGAGGAAUGACAAUCGCCCCGCGCUCACUUUGUCCUGACGGAUCGUCGGGUCAUGAUGCUUUGCCAGGACAAAGUGGGCGCGGGGAGACAGAACCCGGCUUAUCGCCCGACUCCCGCG